GGGUUGUGAGGUUAAGCGACUAAGCGUACACGGUGGAUGCCCUGGCAGUCAGAGGCGAUGAAGGACGUGCUAAUCUGCGAUAAGCGUCGGUGAGGUGAUAUGAACCGUUAUAACCGGCGAUUUCCGAAUGGGGAAACCCAGUGUGUUUCGACACACUAUCAUUAACUGAAUCCAUAGGUUAAUGAGGCGAACCGGGGGAACUGAAACAUCUAAGUACCCCGAGGAAAAGAAAUCAACCGAGAUUCCCCCAGUAGCGGCGAGCGAACGGGGAGGAGCCCAGAGCCUGAAUCAGUGUGUGUGUUAGUGGAAGCGUCUGGAAAGGCGCGCGAUACAGGGUGACAGCCCCGUACACAAAAAUGCACAUAUUGUGAGCUCGAUGAGUAGGGCGGGACACGUGGUAUCCUGUCUGAAUAUGGGGGGACCAUCCUCCAAGGCUAAAUACUCCUGACUGACCGAUAGUGAACCAGUACCGUGAGGGAAAGGCGAAAAGAACCCCGGCGAGGGGAGUGAAAAAGAACCUGAAACCGUGUACGUACAAGCAGUGGGAGCCUCUUAAUGGGGUGACUGCGUACCUUUUGUAUAAUGGGUCAGCGACUUAUAUUCUGUAGCAAGGUUAACCGAAUAGGGGAGCCGAAGGGAAACCGAGUCUUAACUGGGCGUUAAGUUGCAGGGUAUAGACCCGAAACCCGGUGAUCUAGCCAUGGGCAGGUUGAAGGUUGGGUAACACUAACUGGAGGACCGAACCGACUAAUGUUGAAAAAUUAGCGGAUGACUUGUGGCUGGGGGUGAAAGGCCAAUCAAACCGGGAGAUAGCUGGUUCUCCCCGAAAGCUAUUUAGGUAGCGCCUCGUGAAUUCAUCUCCGGGGGUAGAGCACUGUUUCGGCAAGGGGGUCAUCCCGACUUACCAACCCGAUGCAAACUGCGAAUACCGGAGAAUGUUAUCACGGGAGACACACGGCGGGUGCUAACGUCCGUCGUGAAGAGGGAAACAACCCAGACCGCCAGCUAAGGUCCCAAAGUCAUGGUUAAGUGGGAAACGAUGUGGGAAGGCCCAGACAGCCAGGAUGUUGGCUUAGAAGCAGCCAUCAUUUAAAGAAAGCGUAAUAGCUCACUGGUCGAGUCGGCCUGCGCGGAAGAUGUAACGGGGCUAAACCAUGCACCGAAGCUGCGGCAGCGACACUAUGUGUUGUUGGGUAGGGGAGCGUUCUGUAAGCCUGUGAAGGUGGCCUGUGAGGAAUGCUGGAGGUAUCAGAAGUGCGAAUGCUGACAUAAGUAACGAUAAAGCGGGUGAAAAGCCCGCUCGCCGGAAGACCAAGGGUUCCUGUCCAACGUUAAUCGGGGCAGGGUGAGUCGACCCCUAAGGCGAGGCCGAAAGGCGUAGUCGAUGGGAAACAGGUUAAUAUUCCUGUACUUGGUGUUACUGCGAAGGGGGGACGGAGAAGGCUAUGUUGGCCGGGCGACGGUUGUCCCGGUUUAAGCGUGUAGGCUGGUUUUCCAGGCAAAUCCGGAAAAUCAAGGCUGAGGCGUGAUGACGAGGCACUACGGUGCUGAAGCGACAAAUGCCCUGCUUCCAGGAAAAGCCUCUAAGCAUCAGGUAACAUCAAAUCGUACCCCAAACCGACACAGGUGGUCAGGUAGAGAAUACCAAGGCGCUUGAGAGAACUCGGGUGAAGGAACUAGGCAAAAUGGUGCCGUAACUUCGGGAGAAGGCACGCUGAUAUGUAGGUGAAGCGACUUGCUCGUGGAGCUGAAAUCAGUCGAAGAUACCAGCUGGCUGCAACUGUUUAUUAAAAACACAGCACUGUGCAAACACGAAAGUGGACGUAUACGGUGUGACGCCUGCCCGGUGCCGGAAGGUUAAUUGAUGGGGUUAGCGGUAACGCGAAGCUCUUGAUCGAAGCCCCGGUAAACGGCGGCCGUAACUAUAACGGUCCUAAGGUAGCGAAAUUCCUUGUCGGGUAAGUUCCGACCUGCACGAAUGGCGUAAUGAUGGCCAGGCUGUCUCCACCCGAGACUCAGUGAAAUUGAACUCGCUGUGAAGAUGCAGUGUACCCGCGGCAAGACGGAAAGACCCCGUGAACCUUUACUAUAGCUUGACACUGAACAUUGAGCCUUGAUGUGUAGGAUAGGUGGGAGGCUUUGAAGUGUGGACGCCAGUCUGCAUGGAGCCGACCUUGAAAUACCACCCUUUAAUGUUUGAUGUUCUAACGUGGGCCCCUUACCGGGGUUGCGGACAGUGUCUGGUGGGUAGUUUGACUGGGGCGGUCUCCUCCUAAAGAGUAACGGAGGAGCACGAAGGUUGGCUAAUCCUGGUCGGACAUCAGGAGGUUAGUGCAAUGGCAUAAGCCAGCUUGACUGCGAGCGUGACGGCGCGAGCAGGUGCGAAAGCAGGUCAUAGUGAUCCGGUGGUUCUGAAUGGAAGGGCCAUCGCUCAACGGAUAAAAGGUACUCCGGGGAUAACAGGCUGAUACCGCCCAAGAGUUCAUAUCGACGGCGGUGUUUGGCACCUCGAUGUCGGCUCAUCACAUCCUGGGGCUGAAGUAGGUCCCAAGGGUAUGGCUGUUCGCCAUUUAAAGUGGUACGCGAGCUGGGUUUAGAACGUCGUGAGACAGUUCGGUCCCUAUCUGCCGUGGGCGCUGGAGAACUGAGGGGGGCUGCUCCUAGUACGAGAGGACCGGAGUGGACGCAUCACUGGUGUUCGGGUUGUCAUGCCAAUGGCACUGCCCGGUAGCUAAAUGCGGAAGAGAUAAGUGCUGAAAGCAUCUAAGCACGAAACUUGCCCCGAGAUGAGUUCUCCCUGACUCCUUGAGAGUCCUGAAGGAACGUUGAAGACGACGACGUUGAUAGGCCGGGUGUGUAAGCGCAGCGAUGCGUUGAGCUAACCGGUACUAAUGAACCGUGAGGCUUAACCUUACAACGCCGAAG
Molecule: ribosomal RNA, 2925 nt
Filed under: Escherichia coli JJ1886
Lineage: Bacteria; Pseudomonadati; Pseudomonadota; Gammaproteobacteria; Enterobacterales; Enterobacteriaceae
Description: bacterial LSU rRNA
Rfam family: Bacterial large subunit ribosomal RNA
Source: RNAcentral